AGAGAUGUAGACCAAUGUUUUCGCGUAGGAGUCUGUGCUGCAUAACAAAUGUGUUUUGUUGAAAUGUCAUGUAAUCAUAUGUGAAUGUUAUUUUCUAAAACUGUAAUUCAGCUUUAUGUGGAAGGAUUUUCACUGCCUGCGAUAAUUGUUGCAUACUUGAUUUUAUAACAUGACAGCAGAACAAUGAAUUAUUAAGUGCAUUAUUACUGCAGUCAUUGGGUUACUAAAUAAAAAAGAAAAUAUGGCACAGAGUAGCUCCAGUGGCACGUCGUCUAGGCGGCACGGGAGGAGCGAUCACGAUACAGCUUCAUUAACAUCAAGCAGAUAUGCCGACGCCGAAUGGGAAGCCAAGGAGGCAUUACGGCAGAGAGAAUUGGAGGAAGCAAGAGCUCGCGCAACCCAGAUGGAAAAGACGAUGAGAUGGUGGUCUGAUUGUACUGCAAACUGGAGAGAAAAAUGGAGCAAGGUACGUAAUGAACGCAACAAGGCCAGAGAAGAAUCGAAACAGUUGAGGAUACGACUAGAAGCAGCAAUGAAAGAUGCUGGAACCUGCAGGAGGGAGCGUCAAGAACUAGAAACAGAAAAUGAGCGGCUAAGACAAGAGUUAGAACAAGCACACAUGUUACUACUGAAGGGAGCAGGGAAAUCAGGCAGUGCGUGGGCACCAAAUAGUAAUUUGCCAGCUGAUGACCAUGAAGCAGAGGAGUAUGUUCUUCCUCGGCACACUACAGAACUGUGCCAUGCGGGAGUGGUGGGGCGUGAAAAUGCAGUUGAUGGAGAUGCUCAAGAGCCGGCAGCUGUAUCAACAGAUUUGUCAGCAUCUGAUGCAGCCUUGGGUGAUAUGGACCCCACAGCUGCCCUAGGACCACGUGACCCUGCAGCAGAUGGUGGAGAAGAUCUGGAUCGUGAUCAUGACUGCAUGUUGCAGAAGAUGUCUAUGCUACAGCUUAGAUUAGAUGAGGCUUCAAAGACUAUACAGAUCGAGAGAGAAGAAAAAGGAGCACUGCAACGAGCUUUGGACAGGUUACGAGGAGAUCUGGCUGGUGAGACAAGGGUGCAAGACGGUGGUAUAGCAGGACGACUUGCGCUCCUUAGAGCAGAGCUCGAACGCAUGCAGGCAGAAAAUUCUGCUGAAUGGAGAAGAAGCGAAAGCCUGGAGACUGAGAAACUUGCCUUGGAGAGAGAGAACAAAAAACUACGAGCUGAACUUCGUGACGCAAAUGAGCGACUUGAACGUAUGCAGCGCAAUGUUGCAGCAGGCCGUUUACCUUUGCCUUCAUCAUCAGUAGUGGAAACAGAGCUGCGCGAAGAUCUUGCUGACAGAGUUAAGGAGCUGACUGAACUGAAGCAGGCACACUCAAAGCUAAAAAAGGUAUUUCAAGAAAAGUCAACAGAACUUGCACAUGCAGCAAGACGGGCAGAACAGUACGAGGCAGAAGUAAAGAGACUGCGUGCUCGUGUUGAGGAAGUGAAAAGGGAACUAACAGCAGCAGAGGAUGAAGUUGAUGCUGCCUCAAACAGCAUACGAAAACUCCAGAGAGCAAAUGAUGAAUUACAGGAACAAGUAGAGACGCUUCAGGUACAACUUGAACAUUUGCACUCCAGAGACAGCCUGUGUCUUGAGGAGACCUCCUGAGAGCAUGCUGUCCCUGCCAGCGAAGCUCUUGGCAGGGUCCUCUAUGGCGACAGCACUAUAGGCACACUCUGAGUGUGUUGCCAGGUUCCAGGUUCCCAGUUCUUCAAGUUCUCAUCGUAAUGGCCAAGAUUUUGCCUUUCGUGGAGAACUGAGUGAUGAUGAAGUUAUAUAUUAAAUGAUUUGUGGGUAUUUGUCAUUGCACUUCCAUUUCUGGUAACUUGUGAAAACAUAUUGCAAUACAACUGUAUAGAAAUGGCAUUUUUUCAAAAUAAGUAAAUAACAGUUGAAUUUAUAGUAACUAGGAAAAUAUAGCUUCAGUGAAGCAUAUAGUAUUUUUCUAUAUAUUUGACUGUAAUUCAUGGUGGAAUUGAAUGACUGCAUUCCAUUGCAUAUUUGUGCUAUUAAAACUGUAAUUAGACAAAAAGUGGUUGACAUAUUGAAUGAUGAAUUAGCAGUUGUGAUCAUUUGUGUGAGCUCACUUCAGCACUUACAAUUUAGAAAAAAAUAACAGCAAAUAUUUCAGGAAAAAGUAGCUGUCUAACAAAGCUCACUUCUCAGAUCUUGGGUGCUCUUUCAUAUCUGAACAUUCAAAUGAAGCAGAACAGAAUGCUAAUCAUCUGUGAAUGAACUGUGCAGUUUUAUAAUAGACACAUAAUGGCAGAGGUAGUUGCCCUUCUUAAGAUCUACAUCUACAUCUACAUUUAUACUCCGCAAGCCACCCAACGGUGUGUGGCGGAGGGCACUUUACGUGCCACUGUCAUUAUAUCCCUUUCCUGUUCCAGUCGCGUAUGGUUCGCGGGAAGAACGACUGUCUGAAAGCCUCUGUGCGCGCUCUAAUCUCUCUAAUUUU
RNA transcript from Schistocerca cancellata (South American locust), 2486 nucleotides. It is a transcript of the gene named coiled-coil domain-containing protein 102A, with no coding region annotated. The transcript has 10 exons. The record is from RefSeq and is a predicted model, not a curated record. NCBI's taxonomy places the organism in Eukaryota, Metazoa, Arthropoda, Insecta, Orthoptera, Acrididae.